Molecule: ribosomal RNA, 250 nt
Filed under: uncultured bacterium
Lineage: Bacteria
Description: partial 16S ribosomal RNA
Rfam family: Bacterial small subunit ribosomal RNA
Source: RNAcentral
AACGAACGCUGGCGGCAUGCCUAACACAUGCAAGUCGAACGAGACCUUCGGGUCUAGUGGCGCACGGGUGCGUAACGCGCGGGAAUCUGCCCUUUGCUUCGGAAUAACAGUUAGAAAUGACUGCUAAUACCGGAUGAUGUCUUCGGACCAAAGAUUUAUCGGCAAAGGAUGAGCCCGCGUAGGAUUAGGUAGUUGGUGGGGUAAAGGCCUACCAAGCCGACGAUCCUUAGCUGGUCUGAGAGGAUGAUCA